Zootermopsis nevadensis is the source of this 752-nucleotide non-coding RNA. The record is from RefSeq and is a predicted model, not a curated record. Lineage: Eukaryota; Metazoa; Arthropoda; Insecta; Blattodea; Termopsidae.
UUAAGUCCGAGCCAAGAUAGAAACAAGCCGAUCGUAACGAAAGAUAUUUCUCGAAAUAGGUAACUGAACAAAUGAGAUAACAGCUAUUGAUUGCGGACUUUUUUUAAACAGUGCGAAGAGGAGAGACAGAGAAGCGGUGAGACGGAUAUCAGUAAAUGGAAGGUUGGUCCACGUUCAAAACUGCAAUAAGACACGUGACGUAAUCAGCCGCAAAUGCGCGCGCGCGAGCGUAGCGGAGGGAGGGCACGUUUCGAAGUGUGCAGAUUCUCAAUGGAGCAGGUUGUCAGUUUGCCACAAGCUGAUCUAGCACGAACAAUGUCUAAUAAAGUGAUAGCGACGAACGAGAGUACCCCCAUCCAAGUGGGCGAAUAACAUCCGGGUCAUUCAAGAGGCGCCAAACUGCAGCAACCCCAGGAAACAAGAUAUACAAACUGACUAUAGUAAAAAUGCUUUAGUAGCGUUCGUCAAGAUGGCCAAGAUGUCACUCGGCAGUGGUGCGCCGACAGGACAACCAACAGCCGGUGCGAGGGGCGCCGAAGUAAUUGAAGUGUCGGUCUUUUGAAUUUUUAAGCCGUGUAUAAUCAAAAGUAGACACCAAAUUUGGUAUCUAUAUAUGAGUACUCACGCCGCUACAACCCACAGAACCAACUUUGUCAUCUUCAGUGCCAUGAGAAUCUCAACUCUCGUAUUUUGUGUUACAUUCUGGAUCUGUGUCUGCGUUUCCUAUAAAACUGCUCAUCAGACGCCGCGUA